RNAcentral lists this ribosomal RNA (253 nucleotides) under uncultured bacterium. RNAcentral's name for it is "partial 16S ribosomal RNA". It matches the Rfam family "Bacterial small subunit ribosomal RNA", at positions 524 to 776 of the family's 1533-position model. The record is from RNAcentral.
UACGGGGGGGGCAAGCGUUGUUCGGAUUUAUUGGGCGUAAAGAGCGUGUAGGCGGCUUGACAGGUCUGCUGUGAAAACUCGAGGCUCAACCUCGAGAUGUCGGCGGAAACCGUCUGGCUAGAGUUCGGAAGAGGAGAGUGGAAUUCCCGGUGUAGCGGUGAAAUGCGCAGAUAUCGGGAAGAACACCCGUGGCGAAGGCGGCUCUCUGGGACGGUACUGACGCUGAGACGCGAAAGCGUGGGGAGCGAACAGG